AUGUCCACCGCCGCGCCCUUCCGCCUCCUCCUCCCGCUCCACCCACCACUAACUCCCAGACGCCAUUCCGCUCCCGUUCUCCCCUCUGUCCCACGCCGCGGCACCGUCCCCAGCCCCCGCCUCCGCCUCCGUCUCCGUAUCGCAGCCGGGGGCGGCGAUGCGCCUCCGCCCGCAGCCGACGAACUCGACUGCGUGGGCACGGGCAGCGACGUCGAGUGCGUCGUCGACGGCGACCCUGGGGCGGAGGAGGGGGUCGCCCCGGCGCUCGCGGGGAGGGAGUGGUGGGAGUGGGUGUCGCUGGUGUCGCCCUUCUUCUUCUGGGGCACGGCCAUGGUGGCCAUGAAGGGGGUCAUACCCAAGACCGGGCCCUUCUUCGUCGCCGCGCUCCGCCUGCUCCCCGCGGGCGCGCUCGUCGUCUCCUUCGCGGCCGCGCGGGGCAGGAAGCAGCCCUCCGGGUGGGCCGCCUGGGGCGCCAUCGCCGCCUUCGGUCUCAUCGACGCCGCCUGCUUCCAGGGCUUUCUCACCGAGGGCUUGCAGAAGACAUCGGCUGGCCUCGGAAGCGUCAUAAUUGACUCCCAACCAUUGACGGUUGCUAUCCUUGCAGCACUAUUCUUCGGAGAGUCUAUCGGGGCGAUAGGAGCUGGGGGGCUCGUACUGGGUGUUGUUGGGCUUUUGCUCCUCGAGGUUCCAGCACUGUCAGUUGAAGGAAACAACACAUCAGUCUGGGGGAGUGGAGAAUGGUGGAUGUUCCUCUCGGCCCAAAGCAUGGCGGUCGGAACUAUCAUGGUUCGCUGGGUAUCAAAGUAUUCUGAUCCAAUCAUGGCAACAGGAUGGCACAUGGUACUAGGUGGGAUUCCUUUGUUGGUUAUAUCUGUUCUUAAUCACGAUCCUGCUCUUAAUGGACACAUUCAAGAACUUACAUGGAGUGACAUAGCAGCUCUGGGUUAUACAUCUAUAUUCGGCAGUGCUGUCAGCUAUGGUGUCUACUUCUACAAUGCUACAAGAGGUAGUUUGACCACGCUUAGUUCUCUUACUUUCUUGACUCCUAUGUUCGCCUCCAUUUUUGGGUUCCUCUAUCUGGGAGAGACCUUCGCACCUGAGCAGAUCGGUGGUGCACUUCUGACAUUGGUUGCCAUCUAUAUGGUUAAUUACAAGAGCAUUAUAGGCGAGAAGUAA
RNAcentral lists this ribosomal RNA (1176 nucleotides) under Triticum aestivum (bread wheat). RNAcentral's name for it is "partial small subunit ribosomal RNA". The record is from RNAcentral. Lineage: Eukaryota; Viridiplantae; Streptophyta; Magnoliopsida; Poales; Poaceae.